UAAUACGGAGGGUGCGAACGUUGUUCGGAAUUACUGGGCGUAAAGCGCGUGUAGGCGGUGCGUUAAGUCAGAUGUGAAAGCCCUCGGCUCAACCGAGGAAGUGCAUUUGAAACUGGCGAACUAGAGUACGGGAGAGGGUUGUAGAAUUCCAGGUGUAGAGGUGAAAUUCGUAGAUAUCUGGAGGAAUACCGGUGGCGAAGGCGGCAACCUGGACCGAUACUGACGCUGAGACGCGAAAGCGUGGGGAGCAAACAGGAUUAGAUACCCUGGUAGUCCACGCCGUAAACGUUGGACACUAGGUGCUGCGGGUAUUGACCCCUGCGGUGCCGUAGCUAACGCGUUAAGUGUCCCGCCUGGGGAGUACGGCCGCAAGGCUA
This 377-nucleotide ribosomal RNA is filed under the name uncultured delta proteobacterium. Its description in RNAcentral is "bacterial SSU rRNA". It matches the Rfam family "Bacterial small subunit ribosomal RNA", at positions 521 to 896 of the family's 1533-position model. Lineage: Bacteria; Deltaproteobacteria. The record is from RNAcentral.